CGCUUCGAGAUGAGCCUGCGGCCCAUCAUGGUAGUUGGUAGGGUAAUGGCCUACCCAAGCCGAAGACGGGUAGCUGGUCUGAGAGGAUGAUCAGCCACACUGGAACUGAGACACGGUCCAGACUCCUACGGGAGGCAGCAGUGGGGAAUCUUGCGCAAUGGGCGAAAGCCUGACGCAGCGACGCCGCGUGAGUGAUGAAGGCCUUCGGGUUGUAAAGCUCUGUGGAGGGGGACGAAUAAGGGUUGGCUAACAUCCAGCUCGAUGACGGUACCCCUUUAGCAAGCACCGGCUAACUCUGUGCCAGCAGCCGCGGUAAGACAGAGGGUGCAAACGUUGUUCGGAAUUACUGGGCGUAAAGCGCGUGUAGGCCGCUUGGAAAGUCGGAUGUGAAAAGCCCCUGGGCUCAACCUAGGAAGUGCAUUCGAAACUUCCAAGCUGGAGUGCUGGAGAGGAAAGCGGAAUUCUCGGUGUAGAGGUGAAAUUCGUAGAUAUCGAGAGGAACACCGGUGGCGAAGG
RNAcentral lists this ribosomal RNA (516 nucleotides) under uncultured bacterium. Its description in RNAcentral is "bacterial SSU rRNA". It matches the Rfam family "Bacterial small subunit ribosomal RNA", at positions 216 to 721 of the family's 1533-position model. The record is from RNAcentral.